Molecule: ribosomal RNA, 372 nt
Filed under: uncultured organism
Description: bacterial SSU rRNA
Rfam family: Bacterial small subunit ribosomal RNA
Source: RNAcentral
CAGAGGUCUCAAGCGUUGUUCGGAUUCAUUGGGCGUAAAGGGUGCGUAGGCGGCGCGGUAAGUCGGGUGUGAAAUCUCGGAGCUUAACUCCGAAACUGCAUUCGAUACCGCCGUGCUUGAGGACUGGAGAGGAGACUGGAAUUUACGGUGUAGCGGUGAAAUGCGUAGAUAUCGUAAGGAAGACCAGUGGCGAAGGCGGGUCUCUGGACAGUUCCUGACGCUGAGGCACGAAGGUCAGGGGAGCAAACGGGAUUAGAUACCCCGGUAGUCCUGACAGUAAACGGUGCACGUUUGGUGUGGGAGGAUUCGACCCCUUCUGCGCCGGAGCUAACGCGUUAAACGUGCCGCCUGGGGAGUACGGUCGCAAGAUUA